UGCAAGUCGAGCGGACAGAUGGGAGCUUGCUCCCUGAUGUUAGCGGCGGACGGGUGAGUAACACGUGGGUAACCUGCCUGUAAGACUGGGAUAACUCCGGGAAACCGGGGCUAAUACCGGAUGGUUGUUUGAACCGCAUGGUUCAAACAUAAAAGGUGGCUUCGGCUACCACUUACAGAUGGACCCGCGGCGCAUUAGCUAGUUGGUGAGGUAACGGCUCACCAAGGCAACGAUGCGUAGCCGACCUGAGAGGGUGAUCGGCCACACUGGGACUGAGACACGGCCCAGACUCCUACGGGAGGCAGCAGUAGGGAAUCUUCCGCAAUGGACGAAAGUCUGACGGAGCAACGCCGCGUGAGUGAUGAAGGUUUUCGGAUCGUAAAGCUCUGUUGUUAGGGAAGAACAAGUACCGUUCGAAUAGGGCGGUACCUUGACGGUACCUAACCAGAAAGCCACGGCUAACUACGUGCCAGCAGCCGCGGUAAUACGUAGGUGGCAAGCGUUGUCCGGAAUUAUUGGGCGUAAAGGGCUCGCAGGCGGUUUCUUAAGUCUGAUGUGAAAGCCCCCGGCUCAACCGGGGAGGGUCAUUGGAAACUGGGGAACUUGAGUGCAAAAUANGAUAGUGGAAU
This 629-nucleotide ribosomal RNA is filed under the name Bacillus subtilis subsp. subtilis. Its description in RNAcentral is "bacterial SSU rRNA". It matches the Rfam family "Bacterial small subunit ribosomal RNA", at positions 56 to 667 of the family's 1533-position model. The record is from RNAcentral. Lineage: Bacteria; Bacillati; Bacillota; Bacilli; Caryophanales; Bacillaceae.